This 214-nucleotide ribosomal RNA is filed under the name uncultured bacterium. Its description in RNAcentral is "partial 16S ribosomal RNA". It matches the Rfam family "Bacterial small subunit ribosomal RNA", at positions 794 to 1008 of the family's 1533-position model. The record is from RNAcentral.
UCCUAGCCGUAAACGAUCCCCGCUAGGUGUCUGCUCGCAAGGGUGGGUGCCGUAGUUAACACGUUAAGCGGGGCACCUGGGGACUACAGCCGCAAGGCUAAAACUCAAAGGAAUUGGCGGGGCCAGCACAAGCGGUGGAACACGUGGUUCAAUUCGAUGCUACGCGAGGAACCUUACCAGGGCUUGACAUUCUGGAAUGUAGUCAGGUGGAAAC